UGCUUCUAGAAAUUUAUUAUUAGAAGUUCAUCCUGCCCAGUGAUUUUAUUUUUCAACGGCCGCGGUAUCCUGACCGUGCAAAGGUAGCAUAAUCAUUUGCCUUUUAAUUGAAGGCUUGUAUGAAUGGAUAAACGAAACUAAAGCUGUCUCAUUAAAACAUAUAUAAAUUAGCCUUUAGGUGAAGAUUCCUAAAUUUAUCUAAAAGACAAGAAGACCCCAUAGAGUUUUAGCUUAAUAACUUUUCUUUACUUUAUUAACCUUUGGUUGGGGCGACCAAGGAUUAAAUAAAACAUCCUUAACAAAAUAGAUUUAUUAAUCUCUUUUAAGACCCUAUUUUAUUGAUCUUCAGAAAAAACUACCUUGGGGAUAACAGGCUUAUCUUCCYAGAGAGCUCAUAUUGAUAGGAAGGUUUGGCACCUCGAUGUUGGCUUAGAGUAACCAGAAAAUGCAGAAGUUUUCUUGUGUUAGUUUGUUCAACUAUUAAAACUCU
Molecule: ribosomal RNA, 490 nt
Filed under: Lepidonotus squamatus
Lineage: Eukaryota; Metazoa; Annelida; Polychaeta; Phyllodocida; Polynoidae
Description: partial 16S ribosomal RNA
Rfam family: Bacterial large subunit ribosomal RNA
Source: RNAcentral